UGCAAGUCGAACGGUAACAGCAGAGCUUGCUCUGGCUGACGAGUGGCGGACGGGUGCGUAACGCGUGGGAAUCUACCUUAUAGUGGGGGAUAGCCCGGAGAAAUCCGGAUUAAUACCGCAUAAGCCCUACGGGGGAAAAGGGGCCUCUACUUGUAAGCUCUUGCUAUUGGAUGAGCCUAUGUCGGAUUAGUUAGUUGGUGAGGUAAUGGCUCACCAAGACAGCGAUCCGUAGCUGGUUUGAGAGGAUGAUCAGCCACACUGGGACUGAGACACGGCCCAGACUCCUACGGGAGGCAGCAGUAGGGAGUAUUGGACAAUGGGCGCAAGCCUGAUCCAGCAAUGCCGCGUGUGUGAAGAAGGCCUGCGGGUUGUAAAGCACUUUCAAUUGGGAAGAAAGAUUUAGAGUUAAUACCUCUUAAUAUUGACGUUACCAAUAGAAGAAGCACCGGCUAACUCUGUGCCAGCAGCCGCGGUAAUACAGAGGGUGCGAGCGUUAAUCGGAAUUACUGGGCGUAAAGCGUACGUAGGCGGUUUAGUAAGUCAGAUGUGAAAGCCCUGGGCUCAACCUGGGAACUGCAUUUGAUACUGCUGAACUAGAGUAUGGUAGAGGGAAGUGGAAUUCAGGGUGUAGCGGUGAAAUGCGUAGAUAUCCUGAGGAACACCAGUGGCGAAGGCGACUUCCUGGACCAAUACUGACGCUGAGGUACGAAAGCGUGGGUAGCAAACAGGAUUAGAUACCCUGGUAGUCCACGCCGUAAACGAUGUCAACUAGUCGUUGGGAGCAUCUUUCCGUUUAGUGGUGCAGCUAACGCACUAAGUUGACCGCCUGGGGAGUACGGCCGCAAGGCUAAAACUCAAAUGAAUUGACGGGGGCCCGCACAAGCGGUGGAGCAUGUGGUUUAAUUCGAUGCAACGCGAAGAACCUUACCUACCCUUGACAUCCAGAGAAUCUGUUAGAGAUAGUAGAGUGCCUUCGGGAAUUCUGUGACAGGUGCUGCAUGGCUGUCGUCAGCUCGUGUCGUGAGAUGUUGGGUUAAGUCCCGUAACGAGCGCAACCCUUGUCCUUAGUUGCCAGCACGUAAUGGUGGGAACUCUAAGGAGACUGCCGGUGAUAAACCGGAGGAAGGUGGGGAUGACGUCAAGUCAUCAUGGCCCUUAUGGGUAGGGUUACACACGUGCUACAAUGGCCGGUACAGAGGGCAGCUAACCCGCGAGGGGGCGCAAAUCCCAGAAAGCCGGUCGUAGUCCGGAUCGGAGUCUGCAACUCGACUCCGUGAAGUCGGAAUCGCAAGUAAUCGCGAAUCAGCAUGUCGCGGUGAAUACGUUCCCGGGCCUUGUACACACCGCCCGUCACACCAUGGAAGUGGGUUGCAAAAGAAGUGGGUAGCUUAACCUUCGGGAGGG
Molecule: ribosomal RNA, 1404 nt
Filed under: uncultured prokaryote
Description: partial 16S ribosomal RNA
Rfam family: Bacterial small subunit ribosomal RNA
Source: RNAcentral